This 528-nucleotide ribosomal RNA is filed under the name uncultured bacterium. Its description in RNAcentral is "bacterial SSU rRNA". It matches the Rfam family "Bacterial small subunit ribosomal RNA", at positions 8 to 518 of the family's 1533-position model. The record is from RNAcentral.
AGAGUUGAUCCUGGCUCAGAACGAACGCUGGUAGCGUGGAUUAGGCAUGCAAGUCGGACGGGAGUCCGGAAGGUAGCAAUACCGGCCGGUGAGAGUGGCGGACUGGGGAGGAACACGUGAGCACUGCCGCAGGACGGGAAAACCGUUGGAAACGACGGCUAAUACCGGAUGCGGCGCCUUGGGACAUCCCGAGGCGCCAAAGGGGGCCCCAAAGGCUCCCGCCCGCGGAGAGGCUCGCGCACCAUCAGCUUGUUGGCGGGGUAACGGCCCACCAAGGCCUACGGUUAGCUGGUCUGAGAGGAUGACCAGCCCCACUGGGACUGAGACACUGCCCAGACUCCUACGGGAGGCUGCAGUCGAGGAUCAUUUGCAAUGGGCGAAAGCCUGACAAUGCGACGCCUGCGUGGAGGAUGAAGGCCUUCGGGUUGUAAACUCCUGUCAUGGGGGAACAGGCGAGGGGGCCCAACACGUCCCUUAGUUGAGUGUACCCCAAGAGGAAGGGACGGCUAACUCUGUGCCAGCCGCCGC